Molecule: ribosomal RNA, 1152 nt
Filed under: Rummeliibacillus pycnus
Lineage: Bacteria; Bacillati; Bacillota; Bacilli; Caryophanales; Caryophanaceae
Description: bacterial SSU rRNA
Rfam family: Bacterial small subunit ribosomal RNA
Source: RNAcentral
CAGGGGGGCCGGCUUAAUGCAUGCAAGUCGAGUCGAAUGACGAAAAGCUUGCUUCUCUGAUUUAGCGGCGGACGGGUGAGUAACACGUGGGCAACCUGCCCUGUAGACUGGGAUAACUUCGGGAAACCGGAGCUAAUACCGGAUAAUCCAUUUCACCUCAUGGUGAAAUGUUAAAAGGCGCAUCUCGCGUCACUACAGGAUGGGCCCGCGGUGCAUUACCUAGUUGGUGGGGUAACGGCCUACCAAGGCAACGAUGCAUAGCCAACCUGAGAGGGUGAUCGGCCACAUUGGGACUGAAACACGGCCCAAACUCCUACGGGAGGCAGCAGUAGGGAAUCUUCCACAAUGGACGAAAGUCUGAUGGAGCAACGCCGCGUGAGUGAUGAAGGUUUUCGGAUCGUAAAACUCUGUUGUAAGGGAAAAACAAGUACGUUAGGAAAUGAACGUACCUUGACGGUACCUUAUUAAAAAGCCACGGCUAACUACGUGCCAGCAGCCGCGGUAAUACGUAGGUGGCAAGCGUUGUCCGAAUUUAUUGGGCGUAAAGCGCGCGCAGGCGGUUUCUUAAGUCUGAUGUGAAAGCCCACGGCUUAACCGUGGAGGGUCAUUGGAAACUGGGAGACUUGAGUGCAGAAGAGGAAAGUGGAAUUCCAAGUGUAGCGGUGAAAUGCGUAGAGAUUUGGAGGAACACCAGUGGCGAAGGCGACUUUCUGGUCUGCAACUGACGCUGAGGCGCGAAAGCAUGGGGAGCAAACAGGAUUAGAUACCCUGGUAGUCCAUGCCGUAAACGAUGAGUGCUAAGUGUUAGGGGUUUCCGCCCCUUAGUGCUGCAGCUAACGCAUUAGCACUCGCCUGGGAGUACGACCGCAAGUUGAAACUCAAGAUUGACGGGGCCCGCACAGCGUGAGCAUGUGUUUAUUCGAGCACGCGAAGAACUACAGUCUGACAUCCCAGUGACCACUCUAGAGAUAGAGUUCCUUCGGACAUGUGACAGUGAUGCAUGGUGUCGUCAGCUCGUUCCUGAAUGUAGCUAAGUCCGCACGGGCACUGAAUCUAGUGCAUCAUCAUGGAAUUAAGUACUGCGGCACGAGACGUGUAUACCAUCCUGCCUCGACUGCUACAGUUCAAUGACGUGAAAGUGCUAACUCCCGA